GCUCCUGGUGCUUAUCACAAGCUGUGCUCCUACACUGACUGCAGAGAAAGAGGAAAAGAGCAAAGCUUUGCCAUACACACUUCACCAAGGCCGUAAUACUUGGUCUUGAUUGUGAACGGGGUAUGG
RNAcentral lists this small nucleolar RNA (126 nucleotides) under Castor canadensis (American beaver). RNAcentral's name for it is "Small nucleolar RNA SNORA51 (ENSCCNG00000006980.1)". It matches the Rfam family "Small nucleolar RNA SNORA51". Rfam says of the family: ACA51 is a member of the H/ACA class of snoRNA that guide the sites of modification of uridines to pseudouridines. Lineage: Eukaryota; Metazoa; Chordata; Mammalia; Rodentia; Castoridae. The record is from RNAcentral.